GAUGAAGAACGCAGCGAAAUGCGAUAAGUAAUGUGAAUUGCAGAAUUCAGUGAAUCAUCGAAUCUUUGAACGCACAUUGCGCCCGCCAGUAUUCUGGCGGGCAUGCCUGUUCGAGCGUCAUUACAACCCUCAGGCCCCCGGGCCUGGCGUUGGGGAUCGGCGGAGCCCCCCGUGGGCACACGCCAUCCCCCAAAUGCAGUGGCGGUCCCGCCGCAGCUUCCAUCGCGUAGUAGCUAACACCUCGCGACUGGAGAGCGGCGCGGCCACGCCGUAAAACACCCAACUCUUCUGAAGUUGACCUCGAAUCAGGUAGGAAUACCCGCUGAACUUAAGCAUAUCAAUAAGCGGAGGA
This 352-nucleotide unclassified non-coding RNA is filed under the name soil metagenome. Its description in RNAcentral is "partial contains 5.8S ribosomal RNA, internal transcribed spacer 2, and large subunit ribosomal RNA". The stretch from base 1 to 120 matches the Rfam family "5.8S ribosomal RNA", at positions 35 to 154 of the family's 154-position model. The record is from RNAcentral.